GUGCCCAGCUGGAUUGGUAGAGGAGACCAACCACACCCUCUGCAGCACAGCACCUGGAGAGGAACUGCUGCCAUGACCAUAGAGGACACCCUCUGGAUACAAUGCCAGACUUGAUGUGGGACUGACCAACCUAUGGACCCCAGGCACCACCACCCAGACCUGCUCAGCACCUGAAACUUUUCUAUCUCCUCUUCACUCUUGAUGUAGACAUAUCUUCAAGUCAUCUUCUCCAGGCGACACGAGCCUUAAGAGCAUCUUUGUACCCAUCAGGAACGAGUACACAUUGACAACACUGAGGCUGCUACCUCCCCUGUGGCUGGGAGCAAGAUGAGCCCCAGAUGUGUUUCCAAGUGAGUCUGAUUGGGACAGGAGCCGACGUGGGACUUGGAGGCUGGAGAUGGGAGCAGCAUUCACAGCCAUGGAGAGAGAACUGUUCACUGCUACCAUCCACACUUCCGGGCCCCUUCAGCAGCAGGGUGACAAGGAAGAGGGAAAUCGACUUGGAAAAGAGCAUCAAUUUUGCAGCAGCCAUGGCUUGUCCCAUGAGAGAUGAUUCUACCACAAGAACCCAACCACAAGGACGGCUCCUCUUUGAAGUUUUUACAGUCGAUCUCUGGAUCAGCCAGCGAAGUCCUGCUCCCAGGAUCCAGGGAGAGACCGUGGGUGCCCUCUAGGGCAUGGUACAAAGGGAGGAUUUGUUCCAGUAGAGAAUAGAAUAGGCCUUUUCUUUCACCUUUUGGUUUCCAGGUGCUGAACUACAUGUAGGAGUCUUGGUAGUAAAAUCAAGCUUAAUGGUUAUUGAAAUAGAACUACCAGAGAGGUUGUAGAAGCACAUGUUUUGUACAAGUUGGUUAACUGCCAGCAGCUUUGAAUCAUGUAACUGCUUACAAAAAAUUUCACAUGGUCCAGGAAUAAGAGGAAACAAAUGUAUGAAAAACAAAUUCUCAGAUACUUACAUUUAAAAUAAAAAGCAAACUAACAAUAAUUUGGAAAAUUUAUACUUUCAUAUACUACUUUUAUGUAGAAAAGAGAUUCAGGAAACUCCUAAAGCUGAUUGUUCAAAUGUCAUAUUUAUUGAUAUACCCGAGGCCCUUCUUUUUGUUAAAACUACCUACAUUGAUGAUAACAAUGGAAAAAAUAGAAUUUGCGUAAUAUCUUUCUAGGUACUUGUGAAGACAUCGUCUCUUUUGUUCAAAAAUGCUCUAUGGUAAAGAGAGGGAAAACUAUUAUCUAUCUCUAACUUCAAUGAAAAGAAACAAGGAUUCAGAACAGAAUGUAUCAGAACUGAACUGUGGGUUUGGAUAAUUACUUUCUGGCUGUGAUGUUGGGGUAAGUUAUCUCUUGGGGUAAAAGAAAAGUCUCUAAGCUUCAAAUUCCAUCAGCUGUUAAGUAAGAUAAUAUCCACUCCAUGGAGUUAUCAUAGGGAUUGGGGUUGUCCCUUGCCUUGCGUCGGAUAAUUUGACUGGUACACAGUUCCUUAUGAUGAUUUCAACUUUUCCUAACUGAGAAGAGUGACUCCCUGUGCCUAUACACAAUGUGGUUUUACACUGAACACCUGCUUUCCUUCUGGGAGUCUGAACUGGUUACAUGUUAGGCAGAGGGUGCUUAUGUGACCAGCUCCCCAUAAAAACCUUGGGCUUUUCUAAUGAGAACCUUGACUUAUCUAAUGGGCAUCCCUGGGCAGAAUCAGCAGAUGCUUGUUGCUGGAGAAAGAAGCAUGCUCUUGGGUGUCCCCUCGCAGGAGGGAGAAAGCAUGAGGAAGCCUGCACCUUGGUUUCUCAGGACUCCACCAUGGCUUUUUCUCUUACAGUCUGGCUGUAUAUCAUUACUAUGUUGCUGGAAGGAAUCUGAG
Long non-coding RNA from Pan troglodytes (chimpanzee), 1852 nucleotides. The record is from Ensembl. NCBI's taxonomy places the organism in Eukaryota, Metazoa, Chordata, Mammalia, Primates, Hominidae.